Molecule: transfer RNA, 86 nt
Filed under: uncultured archaeon
Lineage: Archaea
Description: tRNA-Ser(cga)
Rfam family: tRNA
About the family: Transfer RNA (tRNA) molecules are approximately 80 nucleotides in length. Their secondary structure includes four short double-helical elements and three loops (D, anti-codon, and T loops).
Source: RNAcentral
GCGGGGUUCGCAUAAUCUGGUAGUGCGCUAGUCUCGAAAACUAGUGCGGCCUUGCCGCAUAUGGGUUCAAAUCCCAUACCCCGCGC